CACGUAAGGAGCGAGCGUUGUUCGGAAUUAUUGGGCGUAAAGGGCGUGUAGGCGGUUAACUAAGUCUUAUUUGAAAUACCGAUGCUCAACAUCGGAAACGGGUAUGAAACUGGUUAACUAGAAUCCGGUAGGGAAAUGUGGAAUUUCUAGUGUAGGGGUGAAAUCUGUUGAUAUUAGAAAGAACACCAAUGGCGAAGGCAACAUUUUGGGCCUGGAUUGACGCUGAGGCGCGAAAGCAUAGGGAGCAAACAGG
This 253-nucleotide ribosomal RNA is filed under the name uncultured bacterium. RNAcentral's name for it is "partial 16S ribosomal RNA". It matches the Rfam family "Bacterial small subunit ribosomal RNA", at positions 524 to 776 of the family's 1533-position model. The record is from RNAcentral.